This 91-nucleotide transfer RNA is filed under the name Coprothermobacter sp. RNAcentral's name for it is "tRNA-Ser". It matches the Rfam family "tRNA". Rfam says of the family: Transfer RNA (tRNA) molecules are approximately 80 nucleotides in length. Their secondary structure includes four short double-helical elements and three loops (D, anti-codon, and T loops). Lineage: Bacteria; Pseudomonadati; Coprothermobacterota; Coprothermobacteria; Coprothermobacterales; Coprothermobacteraceae. The record is from RNAcentral. RNAcentral also lists the same sequence under 10 other names.
GGAGAGGUGGCUGAGCGGUUGAAAGCGCCUGCCUCGAAAGCAGGUGACGGGGUUCCCUCGUUCGUGGGUUCAAAUCCCACCCUCUCCGCCA